UUGACCUCGGAUCAGGUAGGAAUACCCGCUGAACUUAAGCAUAUCAAUAA
RNAcentral lists this ribosomal RNA (50 nucleotides) under Fusarium oxysporum. RNAcentral describes it as "partial 28S ribosomal RNA". RNAcentral also lists the same sequence under 73 other names. Lineage: Eukaryota; Fungi; Ascomycota; Sordariomycetes; Hypocreales; Nectriaceae. The record is from RNAcentral.